GCAGAGAACUUGUUGAGGAAGUUGGGAUUGGAAUGAGCCUCAGCAGAUGGGUAAGGUUUGAAUAGGAGGAGAAGAGAGGACAUUUCAGGGGAAAAGAAACAACACAGAGAGACAGAUACAGGUAUAAGAUAUGGUAAUAAGCCAAAAUGUAUUCUAAGAAUUAUAAAUGCAUGAAAUCAUCAUCAAAGUUUCCUUAGUGAUUAACUGCUUAUAUUUGGCCAGUGCAUAAGCUGUGAAAUUUUUCUUUAACUCAAACACUAAAUUACGAUGUCCUCAGGUUAUCAUAAACCCCAUUUGACUUCAUGCCUCUACUCUCUCAGGGCUGGCGCUGUGACAACUGCCGCAGACCUGGGGGUGAACCCAGUCCCGAAGGCACUACUGGUCAGUCCUACAACCAGUAUUCUCAGAGAUACCAUCAAAGAACAAACACUAAUGUUAAUUGCCCAAUUGAGUGCUUCAUGCCUUUAGAUGUACAGGCUGACAGAGAUGAUUCCCGAGAGUAAAUCUUUCCAACCCAGAGGAACAAGCGUGUCUCUCUGCCAAGAUCCAUCUAAACUGGAGUGAUGUUAGCAGACCCAUCUUAGAGUUCUUGUUUCUUUCUUAAGCCCUUUGCUCUGGAGGAAGUGCUCCAGCUUCAGCUCAACUCACAGCUUCUCCAAGCAUCACCCUGGGAGUGUCCUGAGAGUUUUCUCGUAAAUGAGGGCUGCACAUUGCCUGUUCUGCUUCAGAGUAUUCAAUACCGCUCAGUAUUUUAAAUGAAGUGAUUCUAACUUGUGAUUUGGUGUGGGAUCAAUAGGAAAGCAUAUGCAGCCAACCAAGAUGCAACAUGUAUUGAAAUGAUAUGACCAAAAUUUUAAGUAGGAAAGUCACCCAAACACUUCUGCUUUCACUUAAGUGUCUGGCCCGCGAUACUGUAGGAACAAGCAUGACCUUGUUACUGUGAUAUUUUAAAUAUCCACAGUACUCACUUUUUCCAAAUGAUCCUAGUAAUUGCCUAGAAAUCUUUCUCUUACCUGUUAUUUAUCAAUUUUUCCCAGUAUUUUUAUACGGAAAAAAUUGUAUUGAAAACACUUAGUAUGCAGUUGAUAAGAGGAAUUUGGUAUAACUAUGGUUGGUGAUUAUUUUUUAUACUGUAUGUGCCAAAGCUUUACUACUGUGGAAAGACAACUGUUUUAAUAAAAGAUUUACAUUCCACAA
This is a long non-coding RNA of Mandrillus leucophaeus (drill), 1197 nucleotides long. RefSeq lists it as uncharacterized. The record is from RefSeq and is a predicted model, not a curated record. The transcript is spliced from 2 exons. Lineage: Eukaryota; Metazoa; Chordata; Mammalia; Primates; Cercopithecidae.